GAUGAACGCUGGCGGCGUGCCUAAUACAUGCAAGUCGAGCGAACAGACGAGGAGCUUGCUCCUCUGACGUUAGCGGCGGACGGGUGAGUAACACGUGGAUAACCUACCUAUAAGACUGGGAUAACUUCGGGAAACCGGAGCUAAUACCGGAUAAUAUAUUGAACCGCAUGGUUCAAUAGUGAAAGACGGCUUUGCUGUCACUUAUAGAUGGAUCCGCGCCGCAUUAGCUAGUUGGUAAGGGAACGGCUUACCAAGGCAACGAUGCGUAGCCGACCUGAGAGGGUGAUCGGCCACACUGGAACUGAGACACGGUCCAGACUCCUACGGGAGGCAGCAGUAGGGAAUCUUCCGCAAUGGGCGAAAGCCUGACGGAGCAACGCCGCGUGAGUGAUGAAGGUCUUCGGAUCGUAAAACUCUGUUAUUAGGGAAGAACAAAUGUGUAAGUAACUAUGCACGUCUUGACGGUACCUAAUCAGAAAGCCACGGCUAACUACGUG
Molecule: ribosomal RNA, 497 nt
Filed under: uncultured bacterium
Lineage: Bacteria
Description: partial 16S ribosomal RNA
Rfam family: Bacterial small subunit ribosomal RNA
Source: RNAcentral